AGCAGUGUGGCUUAGUGGAUAGAGCAUGGGCUUGGGAGUCAAAAGGACCUGGGUUCUAAUCCCAGCUCUAUCA
This 73-nucleotide transfer RNA is filed under the name Ornithorhynchus anatinus (platypus). It matches the Rfam family "tRNA". Rfam says of the family: Transfer RNA (tRNA) molecules are approximately 80 nucleotides in length. Their secondary structure includes four short double-helical elements and three loops (D, anti-codon, and T loops). Lineage: Eukaryota; Metazoa; Chordata; Mammalia; Monotremata; Ornithorhynchidae. The record is from Rfam by way of RNAcentral.